RNAcentral lists this ribosomal RNA (783 nucleotides) under uncultured Actinomycetes bacterium. Its description in RNAcentral is "bacterial SSU rRNA". It matches the Rfam family "Bacterial small subunit ribosomal RNA", at positions 28 to 828 of the family's 1533-position model. Lineage: Bacteria; Bacillati; Actinomycetota; Actinomycetes. The record is from RNAcentral.
GACGAACGCUGGCGGCGUGCUUAACACAUGCAAGUCGAGCGGAAAGGCCCUUCGGGGUACUCGAGCGGCGAACGGGUGAGUAACACGUGAGUAACCUGCCCUAGGCUUUAGGAUAACCCUCGGAAACGGGGGCUAAUACCGAAUAUUCAUGUUGUGUGGCAUCACAUGGUGUGGAAAGUUUUUCGGCCUGGGAUGGGCUCGCGGCCUAUCAGCUUGUUGGUGGGGUGAUGGCCUACCAAGGCGACGACGGGUAGCCGGCCUGAGAGGGCGACCGGCCACACUGGGACUGAGACACGGCCCAGACUCCUACGGGAGGCAGCAGUGGGGAAUAUUGCACAAUGGGCGGAAGCCUGAUGCAGCGACGCCGCGUGAGGGAUGAAGGCCUUCGGGUUGUAAACCUCUUUCGACAGGGACGAAGCGCAAGUGACGGUACCUGGAGAAGAAGCGCCGGCCAACUACGUGCCAGCGGCCGCGGUAAGACGUAGGGCGCGAGCGUUGUCCGGAUUUAUUGGGCGUAAAGAGCUCGUAGGCGGCUUGUUGCGUCAGCUGUGAAAACCCGCAGCUCAACUGUGGGCUUGCAGCUGAUACGGGCAGGCUUGAGUUCGGUAGGGGAGACUGGAAUUCCUGGUGUAGCGGUGAAAUGCGCAGAUAUCAGGAGGAACACCGGUGGCGAAGGCGGGUCUCUGGGCCGAUACUGACGCUGAGGAGCGAAAGCGUGGGGAGCGAACAGGAUUAGAUACCCUGGUAGUCCACGCUGUAAACGUUGGGCGCUAGGUGUGGGGG